Molecule: ribosomal RNA, 450 nt
Filed under: uncultured bacterium
Lineage: Bacteria
Description: bacterial SSU rRNA
Rfam family: Bacterial small subunit ribosomal RNA
Source: RNAcentral
UGGGGAAUAUUGCGCAAUGGGCGAAAGCCUGACGCAGCGACGCCGCGUGGAGGAUGAAGGUCUUCGGAUUGUAAACUUCUGUUAAGUGGGAAAAAAGACUUGUCUUUAAUAGAGACGAGGGAUGAUUGUACCAUUAGAGAAAGCACUGGCUAACUUCGUGCCAGCAGCCGCGGUAAUACGAAGGGUGCGAGCGUUAUUCGGAAUCACUAGGGCGUAAAGGGUGUGUAGGCGGUAUAUUAAGUCUGUUGUUAAAUUCCUCGGCCUAACUGAGGACCCGCAACGGAUACUGGUGUACUGGAGGGUGGAAGAGAGGAGUGGAAUUCUCGGAGUAGCGGUAAAAUGCGUAGAUCUCGAGAGGAACACCAAUUGCGAAGGCAGCUCCUUGGUCCAUACCUGACGCUGAAACACGAAAGCGUGGGGAGCAAACAGGAUUAGAUACCCCGGUAGUCC